UAGAGAACAGAGAAGCAGAUGAGCCCUCCUUCAACGACCCUGAGGAUUUCAUAAAUGACAUGAGCGAGGAAGGUCAGGGGUGUAGUCGUGAUUGUGUCCAUGGUGAGAGUAUCCACUUAGGUCGUCGAGGUUUGGUUCUCCGUAACCAUGUUGGAUGACUCACAACCACCCGUGACUCCAGCCCCCAGGAUCUGCCCCUCUAGAUUAAUGGGCACCUGCAUUCAUGUGCACAUAUCCACAUUUUGUUUUUGUUUAAUUCUAGUUUCCAUUUUAUUGGUAAAAUGUAGGAACUUCAUACCACGUCUGAUUUAUUACAGGAGCUGCUCCCCAAAAAUGUUACUUAUAGUUGGAGUAGAAACCCCCGGAAACUCCAAAGCAACCUGCGAAGGAAAAGAAGAAAGCGGGACUAGGUUGAAACAUCGAGCUUACCUGAAGCACAGGCAGGGAAGAGGGAGAGAAGCAGCGCUGAGGACAGAAAGCAAGGAAAAGGACUCAGAAGGAUGGUGUUGGCCAAGCUGCUUCCGAGGCCUCCGAGGACAACAGAGGAGAAUGAGCAGGAGCCCUUAACCCUUAGGACACAAGGCCAAAGAACUUACAGUCAGCUGGUCCUCCCUACAAUCCUAGCACCGGAGAGGUGGCGGCAGGAGGAUCAAGAGCUUAAGGAGGCCGUGAGGCCGUUUCAUCAAGUACAGAGCAGGAACACCUUCCUCAGUGGCCCAGCCAGUAAUACAAGAAGACAGAGUGGAGCUCGGACAGGACAGUGGAAACUUCUCAGGCGAAGAGCUGCAGGAGCAGUUCUUAGGAAGCAGAGGUAUAGAGGAAAAACCAUGGAGACCUUAGAGACAAGGCUUGGAAGAACUGAAGACAAAAGCCAUGGUUGGGUUACUGGAAGAGUUCCAAGGAGCUGCGAAGCUCUGAGGUGUGUCCAACCUUUUGGCAUUGCUUCAUGAAACUGUCGUCCAGAGUUCAAGCAACUGAAUUUUUUAAAAAAAAUGCAAAAUUA
Molecule: non-coding RNA, 1003 nt
Organism: Rattus norvegicus (Norway rat)
Lineage: Eukaryota; Metazoa; Chordata; Mammalia; Rodentia; Muridae
Source: RefSeq, a predicted model, not a curated record